GAUGAGGAACGUAGCGAAAUGCGAUAAGUAAUGUGAAUUGCAGAAUUCAGUGAAUCAUCGAAUCUUUGAACGCACAUUGCGCCCGCCAGUAUUCUGGCGGGCAUGCCUGUUCGAGCGUCAUUACAACCCUCAGGCCCCCGGGCCUGGCGUUGGGGAUCGGCGGAAGCCCCCUGUGGGCACACGCCGUCCCUCAAAUACAGUGGCGGUCCCGCCGCAGCUUCCAUUGCGUAGUAGCUAACACCUCGCAACUGGAGAGCGGCGCGGCCAUGCCGUAAAACACCCAACUUCUGAAUGUUGACCUCGAAUCAGGUAGGAAUACCCGCUGAACUUAAGCAUAUCAAUAAGCGGAGGA
Molecule: unclassified non-coding RNA, 352 nt
Filed under: soil metagenome
Description: partial contains 5.8S ribosomal RNA, internal transcribed spacer 2, and large subunit ribosomal RNA
Rfam family: 5.8S ribosomal RNA (bases 1-120)
Source: RNAcentral